This 468-nucleotide ribosomal RNA is filed under the name uncultured bacterium. RNAcentral describes it as "partial 16S ribosomal RNA". It matches the Rfam family "Bacterial small subunit ribosomal RNA", at positions 28 to 507 of the family's 1533-position model. The record is from RNAcentral.
GACGAACGCUGGCGGCGUGCUUAACACAUGCAAGUCGAACGGAAAGGCCCUGCUUUUGUGGGGUGCUCGAGUGGCGAACGGGUGAGUAACACGUGAGUAACCUGCCCUUGACUUUGGGGUAACUUCAGGAAACUGGGGCUAAUACCGGAUAGGAGCUCCUGUUGCAUGGUGGGGGUUGGAAAGUUUCGGCUGGCGGGGAUGGACUCGCGGCUGAUCGGCUUGUUGGUCGGGUAGUGGCUGACCAAGGCUGGGAAGGGUAGCCGGCCUGUGAGCGUGAACGGCCACCUUGGGACUGCGAUACGGCCCAGACUCCAACGGGAGGCAGCAGUGGGGAAUAUGGCACAAUGGGCGCAAGCCUGAUGCAGAGACCCCGCGUGCGGGAUGACGGCCUUCGGGUUGUAAACCGCUUUCGCCUGUGACGAAGCGUGAGUGACGGUACUGGGUAAAGAAGCACCGGCUAACUACGUG